This 761-nucleotide ribosomal RNA is filed under the name Prevotella melaninogenica. RNAcentral describes it as "bacterial SSU rRNA". It matches the Rfam family "Bacterial small subunit ribosomal RNA", at positions 28 to 776 of the family's 1533-position model. The record is from RNAcentral. Lineage: Bacteria; Pseudomonadati; Bacteroidota; Bacteroidia; Bacteroidales; Prevotellaceae.
GAUGAACGCUAGCUACAGGCUUAACACAUGCAAGUCGAGGGGAAACGGCAUUGAGUGCUUGCACUCUUUGGACGUCGACCGGCGCACGGGUGAGUAACGCGUAUCCAACCUUCCCAUUACUGUGGGAUAACCUGCCGAAAGGCAGACUAAUACCGCAUAGUCUUCGAUGACGGCAUCAGAUUUGAAGUAAAGAUUUAUCGGUAAUGGAUGGGGAUGCGUCUGAUUAGCUUGUUGGCGGGGUAACGGCCCACCAAGGCAACGAUCAGUAGGGGUUCUGAGAGGAAGGUCCCCCACAUUGGAACUGAGACACGGUCCAAACUCCUACGGGAGGCAGCAGUGAGGAAUAUUGGUCAAUGGGCGAGAGCCUGAACCAGCCAAGUAGCGUGCAGGAUGACGGCCCUAUGGGUUGUAAACUGCUUUUGUAUGGGGAUAAAGUCAAUCACGUGUGAUUGUUUGCAGGUACCAUACGAAUAAGGACCGGCUAAUUCCGUGCCAGCAGCCGCGGUAAUACGGAAGGUCCGGGCGUUAUCCGGAUUUAUUGGGUUUAAAGGGAGCGUAGGCUGGAGAUUAAGUGUGUUGUGAAAUGUAGACGCUCAACGUCUGACUUGCAGCGCAUACUGGUUUCCUUGAGUACGCACAACGUUGGCGGAAUUCGUCGUGUAGCGGUGAAAUGCUUAGAUAUGACGAAGAACUCCGAUUGCGAAGGCAGCUGACGGGAGCGCAACUGACGCUGAAGCUCGAAGGUGCGGGUAUCGAACAGG